CAGCAGGCGCGAAAACUUUACAAUGUCGGCAACGGCGAUAAGGGAACCUCGAGUGCCAGGUUACAAAUCUGGCUGUCGUGAUGCCUAAAAAGCAUUGCAUAGCAAGGGCCGGGCAAGACCGGUGCCAGCCGCCGCGGUAACACCGGCGGCUCGAGUGGUAACCGUUAUUAUUGGGUCUAAAGGGUCUGUAGCCGGCCGGGUAAGUCUCUUGGGAAAUCUGGCAGCUUAACUGUCAGGCUUUCAGGAGAUACUGCCUGGCUCGAGGCCGGGAGAGGUGAGAGGUACUUCAGGGGUAGGGGUGAAAUCUUGUAAUCCUUGAAGGACCACCAGUGGCGAAGGCGUCUCACCAGAACGGACCUGACGGCAAGGGACGAAAGCUAGGGGCACGAACCGGAUUAGAUACCCGGGUAGUCCUAGCCGUAAACGAUACUCGCUAGGUGUCGGCCACGGUGCGACCGUGGUCGGUGCCGUAGGGAAGCCGUGAAGCGAGCCACCUGGGAAGUACGGCCGCAAGGCUGAAACUUAAAGGAAUUGGCGGGGGAGCAC
Molecule: ribosomal RNA, 546 nt
Filed under: uncultured archaeon
Lineage: Archaea
Description: bacterial SSU rRNA
Rfam family: Archaeal small subunit ribosomal RNA
Source: RNAcentral